GGCCGACUGGCGAAAUGGCAUCGCGUCUGACUACGACUGUGUGAUGCAGUUGACAUCAGGAGAUUGCAGGUUCGAGACCUGCGUCGGUCA
Non-coding RNA from Fomitopsis betulina (razor strop fungus), 90 nucleotides. Lineage: Eukaryota; Fungi; Basidiomycota; Agaricomycetes; Polyporales; Fomitopsidaceae. The record is from the annotation of a GenBank genome assembly.